UACGUAGGGUGCGAGCGUUGUCCGGAAUUAUUGGGCGUAAAGAGCUCGUAGGCGGCUUGUCGCGUCGGAUGUGAAAGCCCGGGGCUUAACUCCGGGUCUGCAUUCGAUACGGGCAGGCUAGAGUUCGGUAGGGGAGAUCGGAAUUCCUGGUGUAGCGGUGAAAUGCGCAGAUAUCAGGAGGAACACCGGUGGCGAAGGCGGAUCUCUGGGCCGGUACUGACGCUGAGACGCGAAAGCGUGGGGAGCGAACAGG
RNAcentral lists this ribosomal RNA (253 nucleotides) under uncultured bacterium. RNAcentral describes it as "partial 16S ribosomal RNA". It matches the Rfam family "Bacterial small subunit ribosomal RNA", at positions 524 to 776 of the family's 1533-position model. The record is from RNAcentral.